RNAcentral lists this ribosomal RNA (468 nucleotides) under uncultured bacterium. RNAcentral describes it as "partial 16S ribosomal RNA". It matches the Rfam family "Bacterial small subunit ribosomal RNA", at positions 28 to 507 of the family's 1533-position model. The record is from RNAcentral.
GACGGACGCUGGCGGCGUGCUUAACACAUGCAAGUCGAACGGAAAGGCCCUGCUUUUGCGGGGUGCUCGAGUGGCGAACGGGUGAGUAACACGUGAGUAACCUGCCCUUGACUUUGGGAUAACUUCAGGAAACUGGGGCUAAUACCGGAUAGGAGCUCCUGCUGCAUGGUGGGGGUUGGAAAGUUUCGGCGGUUGGGGAUGGACUCGCGGCUUAUCAGCUUGUUGGUGGGGUAGUGGCUUACCAAGGCUUUGACGGGCAGCCGGCCUGAGAGGGUGACCGGCCACAUUGGGACUGAGAUACGGCCCAGACUCCUACGGGAGGCAGCAGUGGGGAAUAUUGCACAAUGGGCGGAAGCCUGAUGCAGCAACGCCGCGUGCGGGAUGACGGCCUUCGGGUUGUAAACCGCUUUCGCCUGUGACGAAGCGUGAGUGACGGUAAUGGGUAAAGAAGCACCGGCUAACUACGUG